Long non-coding RNA from Hyla sarda, 2342 nucleotides. RefSeq lists it as uncharacterized. The record is from RefSeq and is a predicted model, not a curated record. The transcript has 3 exons. Lineage: Eukaryota; Metazoa; Chordata; Amphibia; Anura; Hylidae.
ACGAUACAUAUCUUGUACUGAUCCAGAGUAACAUCGAUAUUAGACUUCAGAGCUGCACUCACUAUUCUGCUGGGGGAGUCACUGGGGGAGAUUUAUCAUUAGGUGUCUAUUGUAGACACAGAUCUACCCCUUUACACUGCCUGUCUGACACUUUUGCGCAAAAGUUGCUAAAAAUGCGCACGUCCUUUGAUAAAUUUUGCGCAAAUAUAGAAAUGCCCCCCUCGCUCUACCGUGCACUCCUUCUCUACCUCACACUUCACAGACCUGUGGCGUUUUCCCGUGGUGGGCCCACAGAAUUCUGACUUCCCUUCUAUCCUCCCAGGUUAAUAAAGUGUCAUGGCUGACCCUAAUGCUUGUGAAUUCCCUUCAGAGGUUGUUUCCUCCGAUCUCCCUGGACCCUCACAGGCUUUGGGGAAUGUUGUCAUCAUGAAGUGCAUCACUUGCAUAGCAUUUUUGCAUAAUUGGAAAUAAGCAAGCUUACAGACUUAAGUAAAGCCACCGUUCGUUACAGUCCUGCAUGACGCAGCCAUAGAGCCUGAACUUUUGCUUUGCUUGGUUAACAACAUAUAGAGACCUACUUUACAGCAGUCACAGGGACCAUUGGUAAACAACAGCAUGGAGCCGAGGGACUGACUUCUAUAGUGUUCUACACAUGCUCUGUGAUCUGGGUAAAGGUCACUGUGUAGGAAGGGGGAGGAGAAGAGCUGUGAACUCCAAUUUCUGUGGAUGGGAUGAGCCAGUAUUAUCGAUCUACUACUAGUGUCACCUGUCACUUCAUUUUCAGUAGAAGUUCUACCGGUGGAUCUUUUUUGGAGAGCUUCUUUAAUGAGUUUUUUAGACCCACCGCUUAUUCAAAGAUAACUAUAGUCUGUGUCUCUGUGUAGCAAUUGCAUUAAAGAAAACAGAAUUGGCAGCAGCUUUUUUAUGGUUUCCAUAAAUAAAGGGGAUUUCUUUUCUUUGCUGCAAGUAAAAUAGAUGAAAAUACUGUAAAUAGCAAGAUGGCCAAACUGGUGGUCAUUUAUAUUUUACAUUAACAAGUAGGACAAAGAAACCGAAGACAAUGAUUCAGACAGGCUGUGACACCAGACGAGUCUCAAGAUUGUCUAUGUUUCUGUUAAUGUUCUCACCCUGGAUUUGCUACAACAUGACCAUCCACUAUGACCAUCCAGCUUCCUGACACGGCUGCCCCCCUGCUCCAUAACAUUCCAGUCUCCUUACCUCUUUGGUCAACAAGCAAGGUCCUUCGCUGCAUCCCUGCAGUUUUGGUUCAUACAUCAUGUAAUUUAUAAACCUGAUUCUCCCACAUUCUCCUCCAAUGAAACCGUUUAGGAAUUCAGGACCUUCGGAAGAUGUACAGGAAACUAUGAAAGUUUUUGUAAACUUCUUCCCCCAAAAAGACAAGGAGUGGCAGCUUUAGGUGAGGGCAGAGUUUGGAAUCCCACAGCAAACAGACUAGAAACGCGAAGCGACAUGUCGACAAGAGAAGGUUAACCCGUUCAGUGAUCUGACAGCAAGGAGGCACAAAAUACUGGAAGUGGCGGCAAAAACAGAAAGAAACGGCAGAGGUCGAGAUACGCAACAGAUGACGUCAUCAUAACAAAUUAGCACAUUAGCCCAGAAACAGCAGGUCCUCUACAUGCCGAAAAGUAGGGUGCAGUCCACCAACCAAAUCUCAGUCACACAUGGUACCAUCUACAGUACUCAAGGAGCUUUUCUGCUACCAUGUACUGUACUUAAGCAAAUAAGUUGAAAGCAGUUUGCCAAACAUUUCUGACACACACAAUGCAUUUUUGGGGUAUGUGGUGAUUGCUUACAAACUAUGGGGUAGAUUUAUCAUUGUUGUCUUUGGAAAGUUAGUUUUGAAGCCAUUUAUUUUUGCUUUGGUUUUGCUUACGUACAACAUGUUUUUCAUACUAUAACAUGGGGCUUGAUAAAUUUAACACAUAUAAGCAAAAAACAGUAGAUGACUUUAGAACACCAUUUUGUAUGAUUUCUGCUCUUCUCUGCAAAUUUUCUGUACAGAAAGUUGCAGUUGUGACUUUUUGGGUGGCUUUUUAAAAGUGCUCUCAGAAGACAGUUUUCUAAGCCAGGUAACAUUCGCACUUCAUAAAUCCAAAAAAAUUGCAAAGUGAAAACUGAAAUUGACUUUUGCAAGUCGCUUACAGCCAAAAGUUACGAAAAAAUUGCUUUGGGACACGUGCAACAUAUAUUUAAAUAUAUAUAUUUAAAAAUAAAGACAAUGAUAAAUGUCCCUCUAUGUUUAAAUGUUUUUUUCCUCCCGAAUCAUAAAGUGGAGCUAUACCAUGAAAAUAAUUGCCUAAUACCUCAUUUCCUGAAAAGGA